GCCAGCACCCAUAUUACUCUGCAACUCACAGUUGGCGAACCACUGAAGCUAAGCAGGUGUGAGCCUGGUCAGUACCUGGAUGGGAGACCUCCUGAGAAAAACUAAGGUUGCUGCUGGAA
This is a ribosomal RNA of Lepisosteus oculatus (spotted gar), 119 nucleotides long. The record is from Rfam. NCBI's taxonomy places the organism in Eukaryota, Metazoa, Chordata, Actinopteri, Semionotiformes, Lepisosteidae.